Molecule: long non-coding RNA, 244 nt
Organism: Cyprinus carpio (common carp)
Lineage: Eukaryota; Metazoa; Chordata; Actinopteri; Cypriniformes; Cyprinidae
Exons: 2
Source: RefSeq, a predicted model, not a curated record
CUGAAAUCAAACCCAUCACACCUGAGAGAACUGGACCUCAGUGGAAAUGUACUUCGGCCACACAAGAGUGAAUAAAUUUUAUGAUAUACUGAAGGAUCCAUGCUUUAAACUGGAGAGACUGAGGUUAAGGUCUUGUGAUAUAAAAGCUGAUGAUUGUUCAGCUCUGACUUCAGCUCUGAAAUCAAACCCAUCACACCUGAGAGAACUGGACCUGAGUCAGAAUGAACUAGGAGACUCUGGAGUU